GACAUGCACAAUCGUAUCAACCGUCGACAAAAUUUUCCGUAUUAAUUACCCGACAAUUUUAUUCCGGGCCGCGUUUUCGAAUCUUUGUUUUCUUGACGGAUCGAUCGUGACAUUUUGAAAUUUGAUGACGUCUGUUUACAAUUCUCAUGUAAUUCGCCGACGUUUCCCAUAUCAAUGAAUUUGUUUUUAUAAAGAACAAUGUGUUACUUUUCACUGGCGCGUGAUUAGCUUUUCUCGAAUCCAAAACUUUUACGAAACAGUGUAUCACGACGGUGUAUUCAAUUUCCAUACGAUUUUAUGAAUUAAUUGUUCACGCUUCUAAUUUUCAUUUCGAAGCGCCAUAGUAAAAAGGAAAUUAACUGUCACGCGAAAACCAAAAAACGCAAAGAACAUGUCGAAAUAAUUCCGGAAAUUGUGUACAACGGAUUUAUAUUGUGUUUAUAAACGCUCAGAGACCACUUAUUUUAGCACAAUAUCAGAUUAAAUAUCAAACUUUUUAGGAAAUAACUUCUCCUUUAUUUCAUAUGGAUUAGUUGAGAAUUUUAGGCAAAUAACGUUUCUCGAUUAAAAUAAUAUUAUUACAAAGGAAAAAUAAAAUAGCGAUAGAAAAGUGCACAAUAACAUUUUUGAUGAGUAAUCAUGUAAAAAUGAUAUACCGUGAAAGUUUCAAAAUUUCAACAAAUUGUAACGUUUCUUUACAAGCUCUUAUAGGAAAAGCUUAUGCAAACAUGAAAAAUAAAAUUCAAUUUUACAAUAACAUCGAUUUUUAGUUGUAUACUUAGGAAUUAUUAUUGUUAUAAAAAUUUUUAUUUAAAAAGGAAGUCUUUACACGCAAGUAAUAAAAAAUUCUAAAAUUAUGGAAAAUAUUGGAAAAACGAAGGGAUUUGACGCAAUCGCAGACAUCCUUGUGAUUUCUAGUAUAACGGGUGGAAUUUUCUGGAUUAACUGGCCAGGGAUUGCUCGGCCCCUAGCGUACCAUUGAAGCUCAUUCAAAGUGCAAGAGGAGCAGAAGCGGAAUGAAAGGUAAUUCAAGAGCCAAACUUCCAAAAGCUGCGUUUGCAUUUAGCAUCGGCGACGUUAUUUAUGUAGUGUCAAAUUAAAUGAUUCCGCCGAACAAAGUAUUAAAAUUACAAAAGAGCUUUCGUAGCCGUGAACCUGUCUGCAGUCUGUUAAUUUGCAUAAAAAAUCGCCGACUUCUAUGCAAAAAUAUUUCGACUAAAAAACUUCUUCGAAAAUAUUCAUUUUUUGGAACACAUCGACUUCAUAAUUCAGAGAUACUUACACGCAAAGUGUACUUUACGGUGUGCUAUAAACGAAAUAUUGGAUACUACAUACCGCGUGAAAGGAGAAUCAGCGCUGAUUAAAAAAUUGCUUACCCAUGAAUAUAGUGAUCGUACGUAAUAUAUCUUUUGCCCUAUGGAAUAAUCAAUACUGUUAAUACGCUCUAACAUUGCAUAGAAUUUUAAACCAGGUAAAUGAAAUCUACCUAUUCGUAUUAUUCAAUAUACUUCGAAUGCGUUCUAUAUACGAAAUUAUUGUUUCAUUUCAAUUUAUACUUUAUAUUUUAUUUGGUAAUGAAUUUAUACGAAUUAUUUGUACUUAAAUAUUAAUAAGGGAUGGAUUGAAUUAAAUGUAUACUGAUUUUAUGAAAAUAUUACUUUAUUGUCAAAUUCUUCGUAUACAAAUUUACAAGAUGGUACAAAGAGAAUGUUUUCUCAAAAAGAAGCUUAAAUCUGCCCUCCUAUUUUUGCAUUUAUGUGUUACAAAAAUGCAAUUGAAUAUUCAUAAAAGCAAUAUAUACAAUAUGUAUUACAUCAAAGGAAUACUAAAACCUGCGUCGAUUAAAUACUUAGUUUUUGUAUAUACUUAAUUUCAACAUUUUACGUGUCCGUCCCAUCCGGAUGUUACUAUUUUUCAAGUUUCACAAGGAUGUAUAAUAUAUUGGUACAGACAC
Long non-coding RNA from Bombus pyrosoma, 1954 nucleotides. RefSeq lists it as uncharacterized. The transcript is spliced from 2 exons. The record is from RefSeq and is a predicted model, not a curated record. Lineage: Eukaryota; Metazoa; Arthropoda; Insecta; Hymenoptera; Apidae.